AUGGCAGCCCCGGCUCUGAUCAUUGCCGUGGCUCUAGCACUGUACCUGGUGCUACCUUUGAUGACCUUUGCUUUGCCCAUUAUUAUCGCAGGCUUUGGUAUUUUACUAAGCUUCAUCUUCGGCUUCUUCAAAUCCAAGAUCGCGUCAAUUGGGGCUCAUCUAUCAGCUGUGCAGGCUAGGGUUGGGUUUCCAAAACUGGCGCGCAUCUUAUUGUUUCAGCGCAGUGCUAUAAAACCACUGUGGGUGUUUCCUUCAGCUUCAACCAGGCUGUUUUGGGUAGUAGCAGCUGCCUUCUUUGUGUGUUUCAUACCAUCCUCAGUUGUCCAAGUUUUUCAACAAAACAGCAGUGUCUAA
RNAcentral lists this ribosomal RNA (354 nucleotides) under Triticum aestivum (bread wheat). Its description in RNAcentral is "partial small subunit ribosomal RNA". The record is from RNAcentral. Lineage: Eukaryota; Viridiplantae; Streptophyta; Magnoliopsida; Poales; Poaceae.